UUAUUGAAUGUACUAAUGUGGCCAAAAAGAAAAAAGGGUAAAAAGAAUAAAGGAACCGUUAUUUCGUUGCAAUCGUUUUUAUCUAAUGCCGAUGCACCGGUUGGAACCACUCAAGUUUCAAAAAAAAUUCGAAAUUUUGAUGGUGAAGACAGUGAUGAAGGAAGUGGUUCAUUGCCCUUAAUUUAUCAGCUUCCUACAGCGCCAAGGGCCAAUCGAAUAUUUGAUGAUAAUUCUAUUCCUCAUAAAGCCCCGUUUAUUGCUUAUAUCAAUAACUUGCCGUUUGAUGCAAACGAAGACGACCUUUAUGAAUUUUUUGGAGGUAUUAAUUUAAUUUCUCUGAGACUUCCACGUGAAGAUGGCGAAAACGGCCGUUCAAGGGGCUUUGGCUAUGUUGAGUUAGAAUCUCGAGAAGAUUUAAUUCAUGUGCUAAGUUUACCAGAUCCAUCUAUUAAAGGUCGCCGCAUUCGCAUUGAGCUAUCCAAUGAGAACGAUCAGCAAAACCGGCAGAAAAGUAACAGGCGGUUUGAUGGCUUUGGUAAUAGCGGAGAUAAUAGAGACUCUGGCAAUUGGAGACGAGAUAGUCAAAAUAAUGGCAGUAGUUUUGGAUAUUCUUCCAAUUUUGACAGAAGCUUUAAUAGGGAAAGAAAACCUGUGCCAGAAAGAGAAGAAGCAAACACCCCUGGAUCUUGGCGUACAAGUGCCAGACAGCAAUCUUUUGAUUCGUCGCCCUCUCGAGGGGAUGUUGACCAAGUAUCUGAAAAAUAUCGCGACGGUCGAGGCAGAAUUGCGGAAAGAUACUCGCGGGAAGAUACUCCCAAGUUUGAAGAAAGGCCAAAACUAAAUUUAAAACCACGAACUCUACCAUUGCCCGAUAUAAAAAAAAUUGACUUCGAAAAAAGUGAUGUCGACGAAACAAAUUCAGCUAAGCAAAGUGGAACUUCAUCAAUGAACGUGUUCGGAUCCGCAAAACCGGUAGAUACAGCUGCGAGAGAAUUAGCGAUUGAGGAACGUUUAGCUCUCGCUCGAAAACAGGAUAUGGGUCGCCAAGAGGAGGAGUUUUUGAGUGACAAGCUUGGUGAAGUCCAAAUGGAUAAAAACGAUAACGAAAGUAUAAAUGCAACAGUAAGCUGGCGCCAGAAUCAAGACAAUAAGGAGGAUAAAACAAUAAAUAUGUAUCAAGAUGAAAAGCAUCGUGGAGAAGAAAAUCCUAAAUUAAAUCAUCCCCGGAACCGAUUCGACAGGCAUGAAGUUUUAAAAGGAAAAGCUAAUACGAACGGGGAGAGCAACAUUGAGGAGGAUUGCGAAUUCAAACGAGAUUCACGUGAUGACCGUUCACUGCCAAAGACUAUUUGCCAGAAUGAACCAAUUUCUUCCAAAAUGUUUGCUCAAAAACAGUACAUUCUCAAGUAGAGAAUAUAAUUUCAGAACGUCAAAAUGGUUUCUGAGUAGUAAUUUUUCAUUAAUAAAUUGAACAUGGAAUAGCAAAACUCCGUUGCGCAAUCGCCUAAUAAAUAUUCUGGACUUGACGAUGGAGGAUCGGAAUAAACAAUUUAUAUGGUUCUUAUUAACGAAUAAAAAUAAAGAAAGCGUAUAUAGUAUAAUA
This is an RNA transcript of Drosophila suzukii, 1603 nucleotides long. It is a transcript of the gene named eukaryotic translation initiation factor 4B, with no coding region annotated. NCBI's taxonomy places the organism in Eukaryota, Metazoa, Arthropoda, Insecta, Diptera, Drosophilidae. The record is from RefSeq and is a predicted model, not a curated record.